AUGGAAGGAACUAAGCAGAUGAAUCCUUGCGCCAUCUGCCUCGGCGGCAUGGGCGCCGGCGGCGGGCAGGCCAUCUUCACGGCCGAGUGCUCCCACACGUUCCACUUCCACUGCAUCUCCGCCAGCGUCGAGCACGGCAACCUCCUCUGCCCGCUCUGCAACGCGCAAUGGCGCGAGCUGCCGUUCGUGCGACCGCCCGCGUCAAUGCCGCCUACCCAACCGCCGCCACCGCCGCCGUCCGUGGAUGUCGUGCAGCCAGCGCAUCCUCGGCGAGUACGCACCCAUUCCGUCGAUCCGGUCGUGUUCGACGACGACGAACAGGUGACGCCGCCUGAUGGCCGGCGACAAGCAGGCGCUGCAUCCGACGAAGCAGUGGUCGUCAAGACGCACAUCCACUACUCGGCCAUCGCCAGAGACUCGUCUGACGACAACUUCGCCGUACUCGUGCACCUUAAGGCUCCCGGGAUAACGGGCUCCGGCACCGAAGCGGCAGGCGACGCUCCGGCACAGCGCGCGCCUGUCGACCUCGUCACGGUGCUCGAUGUCAGCAGCAGCAUGCACGGGAGCAAGCUCGCGCUGCUGAAGCAGGCGAUGCGGUUCGUCAUCGACAUCCUCGGCCCCGACGACCGCCUCUCCGUCGUGUCCUUCUCGUCCAGGGCGCGCCGGGUAACCAGGCUCACGCGCAUGUCCGACGCCGGGAAGGCGCUGUGCGUGCGCGCCGUCGAGUCCCUCACGGCGCGCACAGGCACCAACAUCGCCGAGGGGCUCCGUACGGCCGCCAGGGUGCUCGACGAGCGCCGGUACAGGAACGGCGUCUCGAGCGUCGUGCUCCUCUCCGACGGCCAGGACAACUACACCCCGAUGAGGCAGGCGUUCGGGAGGGGAUUACCCAACUACGCAGCGCUCGUUCCGCCAUCCUUUGCGCGAACGGGCACCGGUGCUGGCGACCGGGCGACGCCGGUCCACACGUUCGGCUUCGGGAACGACCACGACGCGGCCGCGAUGCACGCCGUUUCCGAGGCGACGGGCGGCACGUUCUCGUUCAUCGAGAAUGAGGCCGUAAUCCAGGACGCGUUCGCGCAGUGCGUCGGCGGGCUGCUCUCCGUCGUGGUCCAAGAGGCGCGCCUCGCCAUCCAGUGCUUGCAUCCCGGAGUUCGCAUUGGCUCGGUCAAGUCUGGGCUUUACGAGAGCCGCGUCGACGAGGACGGCCGCGCUGCGUCGAUUGUAGUCGGCGAACUCUACGCCGACGAGGAGAGGCGUUUCUUGCUGUUCUUGGUCGUACCAAGAGCUGAAGCAACGGACGGUGAUGUCACUGCUCUAAUCAGAGUUAACUGCCUCUACCGAGACGCGGCCGCCGGCGCGGACGUCAACGUGACGGGAGAGGACACGGUGGUGGCGAGGCCAGAACACGCGGUGGACGCAGAACGCUCCGUCGAGGUAGAGCGGGAGCGCGUCCGGGUUGAGGCCACCGAGGACAUGGCGGCGGCGAGGGCAGCCGCGGAGCGGGGCGGGCACCAGGAGGCGGUGGAGAUCCUCGAGAACCGGCGGGGAGCGGUGGCGCAGUCAGACGCGGCGCGAGGCGGCGACCCCAUGAUCGUGGCGCUGGAGAUCGAGCUGCGGGACAUGCGCAGGCGCGUGUCGACCCGGCAGAACUACGCGCGGUCGGGGCGGGCGUCCAUGCUCGCCGGCAUGAGCGCGCACAUGCAGCAACGGGGCAGUUCAUCGCAGCUGCAGCUGCCGUCGGUGAUUGCAUUCCACGAUGGAGCGGUGACGACAACGGCGGCCACGCACCAGGUGUUGCAGCAAGCCGCGACGCUGCCGUACGCGACGCCGGCCAUGCUCGCCAUGCUGUUGCGGUCGCGGAGGGCGCGCGAGGCGUCUGCCGCGAGCGGGCAACGGCAGCCUGGCGCGCCAGAGGGAGCUCAAGGCUCCGAACCGACGGUCCCAAAGGAGCUGAACUAG
Molecule: ribosomal RNA, 1962 nt
Filed under: Triticum aestivum (bread wheat)
Lineage: Eukaryota; Viridiplantae; Streptophyta; Magnoliopsida; Poales; Poaceae
Description: partial small subunit ribosomal RNA
Source: RNAcentral